This 72-nucleotide transfer RNA is filed under the name Camelus bactrianus (Bactrian camel). It matches the Rfam family "tRNA". From Rfam's summary of the family: Transfer RNA (tRNA) molecules are approximately 80 nucleotides in length. Their secondary structure includes four short double-helical elements and three loops (D, anti-codon, and T loops). RNAcentral also lists the same sequence under 2 other names. Lineage: Eukaryota; Metazoa; Chordata; Mammalia; Artiodactyla; Camelidae. The record is from Rfam by way of RNAcentral.
GGGGGUAUAGCUCAGUGAUAGAGCGUGUGCUUUGUAUGCAUGAGGUCCUGGGUUCAAUCCCCAGUACCUCUG